Molecule: long non-coding RNA, 2694 nt
Filed under: Canis lupus familiaris (dog)
Lineage: Eukaryota; Metazoa; Chordata; Mammalia; Carnivora; Canidae
Description: lncRNA (ENSCAFG00030010175.1)
Source: RNAcentral
AUGACCGUUUUUCCCAGGGCCCUGAAAUUGUUAGUUUGCUUUUCUUAUCAGUCAAUCAGGCAGGUGGCUAUCUAUCUAUCUAUCUAUCUAUCUAUCUAUCUAUCUAUCUAUCUAUCUAUCAUCUAUGUAUCUAUCAUCUAUUCAUAUAUCAUGUAUUUCCAUCUCCUUCUAAGUAGAAGAAAACAUUCCUUCAAAGUUAUAGGGUCUAGAUUGCUUUAUAUUCUGUCUAAAGAGCUUGUGCAUUUCUCAAUGACUAUAAAUUUGUUCUGUGCAGUUUUUGUACCCUCGAACUCCAACAAAGUUCCUAUACCAGAGCAGAUGCCUAGAAAAUCUUUGUUCAAUUCAUAGUAGGUCUUAGUAUAUUAAAGUUUCAUUACUGGAACAUCUUCUGAUGCUGUGACAUAUUAGUACACCAAAGCAGAACUCUAUAAACAUAUCACAAAGUGAAUCUUUGACCCCCUGAAGAUGAAGCUUCAAGCACAGAUAGUAGUGUAAAGACAUGGAAGAAAGGCUUUGUGAGAUAACUUCUCUGAAACCCAGCAAAUGCCAUUUUUCCACAUAUGAGCACUUCUUGCAAAAACUCUAACCAUUUGAGGGUUGCACCAGAAAAGGAAGUUUUUGCUUGGUCAAGGAGAAGAAAGUUAUUGGCUCAGGUUGGAGGUAACUAAAAGAGAUUUACUUAUGGACACUAGUUAUUUUUCAUCAUUCAGAGCUGAUAUUUAAAGACUGUGGUCUUUUUCAACUGGAUUAUACAACUAGGUUGAAAACAAUAAUAAAUUAAUAAUAUUAUAAACAAAGACAUUAAUAUCCACAGUUUAUAUAUAUAUAUACACACACAUUUUUAAGAUUUAUUUAUUUAUUUUGGACAGAAUGAGAGAGAGAGAGAGCAUGAGUGCAAGGGAGAGAGCCUGAGGGAGAGGAAGAGAGAGAGAGAAUUUUUCAAGUGGACUCCUUGCUGAGCGCAGAGCCUGAUGCAGGGCUUGAUCUCAUGACUGUGAGAUUAUGACCUGGGCUGAUAUCAAGAGUCCAGAUGCUUAACUGACUGAGCCACCAGGUGCCCACACAGUUAUAUAUUUUUUAAAAAUGACCUGUAUAGAAUAGUAAAUACAAUAUUAACUGGGAUUCAUUUCUUAUCUGUAGAAUUCAUCCUCCUGAGUUCUCACAUUGUAGAUAAGAUAGAAUUACAAAGAUUGGGGAAAAUUUUUAAAAAGUCACAGAGAUGCCAGAUUUUUCUUAGGGGAUUAUUCAGGGUUCGAAGCAGAGGGAUAGAGUCAAGAAAUUCUUUCACAUUUUAACUUACUUUCCUUAAUCUUAUGUCUUGACCUAUAUGGAGCUAUGAGUUUCAACCCAAGUUUUCAUUAACUGAUUUAUAACUCAUCCCUAUAUUAGGAAUGCAGAGAUCCAAUUGUCCUCACUACCACCCCUUCUUCAGUAAUCUCUGGAUUCCUUGCUUGAUCUCCUGGGUUCGCACUCCAUAAACAAUGGGGUUGAGGGCUGCGGGGAUGACGUUGUGGAGGACAUUGAGCAAGACUGGCACAUCAGGGGAGACUUUCUUCUUCAUCAUAUGAGUGAGCACGAAGACCAGAAGGACGGUGCUGAAGAAGAGGAUAAGGAUGAAGUGAGAACCACAUGUGCUCAGGGCCUUGGCCAUGGCACCCUCUGCCUUGAGUCUCAGCACAGCUCGGAGUAUAAGGCCGUAGGAGAGGAAGAUGAGGAUGAGGUCAGAUCCUAGCAGUGUCCAGCCUCCAGCAAAUUGGAGAAUGCGAUUGAUGGUGACAUCAUCACAGGAGAGCUUGGAGACAGACAAAUUGGCAGCAAAUGCAAUUCUCAAUAAUAUUUCUCCCACAAUAAUUGAGUCGAGAUGAUAGAAUGGGGAGAGUCACUGUUACAAUCCCAUUUCUGGCCAAAAUAAAGGCAGCAGCCUUAGCUACAAAUCGUUCAGUGAUGAUUAGAUGGGUACCUCAGUGGGUGGCAGAUGGCCACAUAGCGGUCAUAGGCCAUGACCAUAAAUGUGCAGGACUCCAUGGCAUAGAAACAAUUAAUGAUGUACAUCUGUAGGAAGCAGGCAUCAAAGCUGAUGGACUUGAGGUCAAACCAGAAGAUGACCAGGACCUUGGGGAUGACAGUGAGGCAGAGAACAAUGUCCAGGAGGGAGAGGAGGCUGAGCAGGUAGUACAUGGGCUGGUGUAGAGAGGCCUCCAGCCAGAUGGUGAUCAGGAGAACAGCAUUGGCCCCCAUGGCCACAAGGAACAAGAUGCUGAGGGGCAGGGACAACCAGAGCUGCCAAGUGGGGGACCUGACAAAACAAUUCAGGAGGAACUCUGAAACCCCAGUGGAGCCAUUUCUGUGAGGUGUCAUCUUGUGGAUUUUGUUUCUAUAGAUUUUCUUUCGCGAUCUAAAAAGUUAGGAUCAAAAUUAACCUCUGACUGUAAUUAAAAUGGAAGAGAAAGUCACUUCAUUGGAAUCAACUUAUGGCUCUAUUUUGCUUUAACUGGAGAUUUUGCAUAUUACAUAUAGGAGAAGAAAUUAAUUUCAAUCCUUAACAAAUUUUUUCUCACUUCUGGAAUAUUUCUAAUUUCUUAAUGAAUCAACCUUAUAAAAUAGAAUUAGUAAUUUCAGUUAGCUGUGAGGCAGCAUCCUUACUUUUGAAAAAAUAGGUCCUUUAAUUUAAGCAGUGUGAAGGUGGUGAGAUUG